GGUGUGGUGGUGCGGUGGUUAUUGCAUGCUAACCCGAGCUGGAGAUUGAGAGUUCGAUUCCCACCGACGCCU
RNAcentral lists this transfer RNA (72 nucleotides) under Hordeum vulgare. RNAcentral's name for it is "tRNA-OTHER". Lineage: Eukaryota; Viridiplantae; Streptophyta; Magnoliopsida; Poales; Poaceae. The record is from RNAcentral.